AGGAGCAUUGUGGUUUAAUUCGAUGAUACGCGAGGAACCUUACCUGGGCUUUGAACGUAUGGUGCAUUUAGGGUGAAAGCCCUAUUUCUAGCAAUAGACUUCAUACGAGGUGCUGCAUGGCUGUCGUCAGCUCGUGCCGUGAGGUGUUAGGUUAAGUCCUGCAACGAGCGCAACCCCUGUUUCCAGUUGCCAUCAAGUAAAGUUGGGGACUCUGGAGAGACUGCCUGCGCAAGCAGAGAGGAAGGUGGGGAUGACGUCAAGUCAGCACGGCCCUUACGUCCAGGGCUACACACGUGCUACAAUGGCCGGUACAGAGGGCAGCGACCUGGUGACAGGUAGCGAAUCUCCAAAGCCGGUCUCAGUUCGGAUCGGAGUCUGCAACUCGACUCCGUGAAGCUGGAUUCGCUAGUAAUCGGAUAUCAGCAAUGAUCCGGUGAAUACGUUCCCGGGCCUU
RNAcentral lists this ribosomal RNA (454 nucleotides) under uncultured Bacteroidales bacterium. RNAcentral describes it as "bacterial SSU rRNA". It matches the Rfam family "Bacterial small subunit ribosomal RNA", at positions 933 to 1382 of the family's 1533-position model. Lineage: Bacteria; Pseudomonadati; Bacteroidota; Bacteroidia; Bacteroidales. The record is from RNAcentral.